UUUUUUUUUUAGUCUUUGGGGUAAAUUCGGACAGAGGAAUAAUCCGAAACAAGUUACAGUAAUAAAAGAUGAAUCCGAAUUCUUCAAGACCUUUUCUAAUCCAGCCAUUGAAAUUAAAGAUACUACAUUUGCCACAGAUGAGGUUGUGUACAUUCAUUGGGAGUAUCUGGAGGAAUCAACAAUUGAUACACCAUUUAUAAAUCCAGUGAUUAGUGCACAUGUCACAGCUGAAGCACGAUUAGUUUUAUACAGCUACCUUGAAAUUCUACAAGACAGAGUCCUAUACUGUGACACGGAUUCGAUAAUUUUUGUGGAACGGCCUGGAGAUAAAACAAUUGAAACAGGACCAUACCUUGGACAGAUGGGAGAUGAACUGGAAAAGGAAGGGGAGGAUGCCUACAUCACUGAAUUCAUUUCUGGAGGUCCGAAAAACUAUGCAUAUUGCAUCAAAACUGGCGAUGGUUCACUUAAACAUGUCGUGAAGAUAAGAGGGUUCACUCUAAAUUGCAAUACUUUGAAAAGCUUAAAUUAUGAGGCAAUGAAAAAUUUUAUUCUGGCUCAACCUAUUGAUCAUAUUAAUAAGGAUCAUAAAAUAAAAAUAAGGGAAGAAAAUAAAAUCAUGAGGAAGAGACCUUUUCAAGUGGUUACCCAGCCUAUGCCUAAAGAAUAUAAAGAAGUUGUCCCAAAAAGAAGACGUACAGAAUCUUACAGAAGUUUACCUUAUGGAUAUGCAGCUUGAAUGAAUUUGCUUAUGUAACUUGCCUGGAUACACUACCAACAGAGAUUAUUAUGAAAAUUUUUGACCAUUCCCGCGAAAAAGAUAUUUACAAGAGGUUGGCUUAUGUCAACAAGAGGUUUCAAAAAAUUGCUAUCGAGAAGAUUUUCCAAAUCCGCCAUCCACCAAACCAACCCCAGUGGAAACACCGUCAAUAUCUGAACCACUACGCCUACUGGGAACGAAAUAUACACAGGAUGAAGGUAAUGCUGGACACAGAGCGCAUGGCGUGCGUGUGUAAGACUGAGCCAGGUAGACGAAAAGAAAAACGUUAUCUACGUAAAUUCCACAUCGAAACCCAGUGGCACUCACCUUGGUUUUAACUAAUGAAAA
Planococcus citri (citrus mealybug) is the source of this 1108-nucleotide long non-coding RNA. RefSeq lists it as uncharacterized. The record is from RefSeq and is a predicted model, not a curated record. Lineage: Eukaryota; Metazoa; Arthropoda; Insecta; Hemiptera; Pseudococcidae. The transcript is spliced from 3 exons.